GGAGUAUUGGACAAUGGGGGAAACCCUGAUCCAGCCAUGCCGCGUGAGUGAAGAAGGCCUUAGGGUUGUAAAGCUCUUUCGCACGCGACGAUGAUGACGGUAGCGUGAGAAGAAGCCCCGGCUAACUUCGUGCCAGCAGCCGCGGUAAUACGAAGGGGGCAAGCGUUGUUCGGAUUUACUGGGCGUAAAGGGCGCGUAGGCGGAACGACAAGUCAGAGGUGAAAGCCCUGGGCUCAACCCGGGAAUUGCCUUUGGGACUGCCGUUCUAGAGUUCGGAAGAGGAUGGCGGAAUACCCAGUGUAGAGGUGAAAUUCGUAGAUAUUGGGUAGAACACCGGUGGCGAAGGCGGCCAUCUGGUCCGACACUGACGCUGAGGCGCGAAAGCGUGGGGAGCAA
RNAcentral lists this ribosomal RNA (396 nucleotides) under uncultured bacterium. RNAcentral describes it as "bacterial SSU rRNA". It matches the Rfam family "Bacterial small subunit ribosomal RNA", at positions 358 to 771 of the family's 1533-position model. The record is from RNAcentral.